UCAGGUCAUUGGCUUCGGUGCCUGGAGGAUGUAUGACUCCUCUGCUCUGAAGAGACACAGACAGCUGGGCAGGACCCAAAAUGCCUUGAGCAGUCGAAACAAUCUUCAAGAACACUUCUAAAAAGGAGCCUAAGAGUGCCAGUAUUCAACAAAUGUAUGUGUAAUUAUUAGAAGUACUGUUCUCAGGACCCUUGGAGCCCAGCCACUGGCAAUGGUGCCUUUGGAGGAAACAGAUGCAUUUGGAGUUUAGCUGACUGGACCUGUCUGAGCACAUAGCUCCUCACUGCACAAGGUGCCACAAGUGACCUGGUGCACAGAAGUUUGGACCUUGUCCUGAAUUCUGUAACUUUGGUUGAGCUCUCAUCCUCCUGGUGCUGUAUCAGACUGGAUUUAGGAGAAGGCUGUUGACCCACCACAGGGAAAUGUUAAAUUAUGCCAUCGGCCCUGAAGAGCCAAGAGAACAAAAGAGUGAAAGCAAAGAGGAAUCUAUCCUGGCCUUCCUUGGGAUUGCUGGAACCAUUCUGAAUUUACUCGUCAUCAUCUUUGUCUACAUCGACACCUCCCUCUAAACUAUGGAUAUUUGUAUACCAAGGACUUCAGAAGUGUUUCAGUUAAGCAUAAUUAUGGGGCAGGCAGUAGGACACAUUAGGGGCAAUGGAUUGUUUUGGAAUGUUUUCAUGUUCUGACUUUGAUGUUGCCAAGCAUAACUUUCUGUGAACAUUCUGAACUUUGGAUACUGUUCCUCAUGCGUGUGUUUUUUUUAGCUUUUUGAUGGGAAGGAGCUAAAUCUAAAAAGGUUCAUCUUAGGACAGUAUUGCUUGCCUGUUAAAAUGCAUGUGAUAUAUUUUUUUCAGAAUAUAGUAGAUUUACUUAAUAGCUUUUGAUAAAGUGUCUAAAAUGAGUGGGCCGGCCUCAACUGAUUCAUCAGUGCUUGUCCUAUUGUUUAAAAAGAGCCUCAGCAAAUCUGCAAGUAGCACUUGACAGUUCUUGAUCACUAAAAAUGGAUAUCAUGUCUUUGUUUUUUCUAAAAUGAUUCAGCUAUAGUAUUUUUGAUAUGACAUUGCUAUUUUUUCUGUGGUGAGGUUUUGCAGGUUUAAUUUCUGAUGCUAAACUGUUCACCCUUUAAGCCUAGGCCUCAAAACUUUGUUUUGUUGUUUUGGGUGAAAUGACUAGCAAACU
Molecule: non-coding RNA, 1179 nt
Organism: Electrophorus electricus (electric eel)
Lineage: Eukaryota; Metazoa; Chordata; Actinopteri; Gymnotiformes; Gymnotidae
Source: RefSeq, a predicted model, not a curated record